GCCUUGUCUUCCAUACGAUCUCUCAUGCUCAUUGCAAACAAAGCUGGUUCCUGGUUUACCAGUGCCAUUUGUUUCCUGAGCGCAUUUCCAUGCUCGAGAGAUACGCAAAGCUGACGUUGCAAAACUCCACCUCGCCUCACAUGUCUUCGUUUCCAGACAUUUCUAUGUCUAAAACUGCAGUUUUCUUCUUGAGUAUCUUGAGGACCGAUGCUUUUGCUGUCAAGCCAUGAGCCACU
This 236-nucleotide long non-coding RNA is filed under the name Selaginella moellendorffii. Its description in RNAcentral is "long non-coding RNA (SMOE_LNC002153)". The record is from RNAcentral. Lineage: Eukaryota; Viridiplantae; Streptophyta; Lycopodiopsida; Selaginellales; Selaginellaceae.